Molecule: long non-coding RNA, 1157 nt
Organism: Rhipicephalus sanguineus (brown dog tick)
Lineage: Eukaryota; Metazoa; Arthropoda; Arachnida; Ixodida; Ixodidae
Exons: 4
Source: RefSeq, a predicted model, not a curated record
GCUCCCUGCGCUCGCUGCGAACGAAGUGGUGUUUCGCGCAUCUAUUUUUACCGUGUUUAUCAAUAUUACGUGCGGUUAUCGUUGUUGAAUGAACACGUACUACUUACAUCGCGUGUCGGGACGUUCGGGUCGUUGUUUGACAUGGAAUCGACGGCGGCGAUGCGUCGUCGUGGCACCAACCAACGGACGCGAGCUUUGAACAAGAGCGCAAGCGCGGGCCGUUUGACGAGACAGUCGCCGCAGCGGAUACAACACCUCGGUAAGAGUGCCUGGGCGGGCGGCCAGUUACCACAGAAGGGAUGCUGCGCAAGAGCAAGGGCCUGCUAAAAAACUCAAGAGACUGAAGUGGUGGACAGCUUGCUGUGAAAGAUGGAAGCGUUCUUCCUGCAAGUCUGGACAAGGCCAUAUUAAAUGGCUUCAUCUGUCACAAAUCGCUGGCCACGAAUGUAAAGAAUACCUUGGCCCCACUUCUGUCGAGGGAACCGAAGUUGCCUGAACAGAUGAAGAGGGGUGGUGCUACCAAUAGUGAACGACUGUGAUUUUAUAAUGUGCAAGUGUAUGAAAAAUCUUGUUACACUAAUUUAACGUUAAUUGCAUUCACUAGUCAAGUGUCAAUAUUGUAAUGUGUAAGUUUAUGCACAGUUGCAUUAAGUGAGCGCUCAUUCAAGCUUCAAGUUCGCAAUCAUAUAUUUUGGUGGUAUUCAUAGGGCACACAUUCCACUUUAAAUUGUGAUCUGCUCCUUUACUGAGGGUGCAUGCAGGUCCUUGAAACGAUUGAAAACCCUUGAAAAAGUAAAAGUACAUUUUUAAAGCCCUGAAACCCUUGGAAUUUCUUAGCAUAUAGUGUCCAAUAUUGACAAUACUAAUUUCUUUCGGUGUUCUGUAAACAUUUGUCUAGCAAACUGAGGGAACAUGUCAUGCUCAGUGAUGAUUCGGCUACUCUGUUUACCUUGCUUGCAUCACUGCUUUACCGAUCAUUUCAUUUCCGCAACUGUCGGUCCGCCUUCUCCCCCUUUCUCUUGAUUUGGCUUCUUGGGACUCGACUUCACUUCCAGCGCUUAUGCUAGUUUCUCUUCUUCUAUAGCAAGCUCACUACUUGUGAUAGAUCUUCUAGCUCAACAAACAUCCACUGUCCUAUAAUGCAGGCAAAAUGUGAA